AUGUCCGGCUCCGGCGGGCCCUCAGGCCGCGGCUCCGCAGGCGGCACUCGGAGCUUCGACUUCGGCACGGACGACGUGCUCUGCUCCUACGACGACUUCGCCGCCCCCUCCGAGCCCAAGCGACCCGAUCCAGUCGACAAGGAUUUUCAUGAGAGCAGAUUUGGGAGACCAUCUGUUAAAGUUUAUGAACAAGAGAGUUAUGCCAAAGAGGAUGUACUUUCUGCUGUUGAGAAAUGCAUGAAGAAAUAUGCUGAUAAUUUGCUAAGGUCUCUUGAAGGAAUCACCAGCAGGCUUUCACAACUGGAGAUUUAUUGCUAUAAGCUUGAGAGGUCCAUAGGCGAGCUUCGAGCUGAUGUGCUUCGUGAUGAAACUGAUCUAAGAUUAAAAUCUCUUGAGAAACAUCUACAUGAAGUGCACAGGUCUAUUCAAAUCCUUCGAGACAAGCAAGAGUUAGCGGAUACUCAGAAGGAGCUAGCCAAGUUUCAACUUACACACGAUGAAUCUAAAAAGAAAGAAGAUGUGCUGACGCCUUCUUUCCCUGAGCCAAAGAAGCCUGAAGAAAAGCGAGAUGCAGCAAGUCAGCAGCUGGCACUUGCUUUACCUCAUCAGGUGAACUCAUCGGCACUUGUACCUAGAGCUUCUGGACCAGUCCAACAGUACAAUGAUCAACCUGUGCAGCAGACAGCCCCUAGCUCUCUUGUACCGCAGCAGGACCGUUAUGCUGUUAGCCAAGCCAUUGUAUACUACCCACAACACCAAGCUCCAGGCAACCAGGACACACAGGGUCAGCAAGUACAACAAGAGGUGCAAUACCUGCCAUUAAGGCCUCAAGCUCAAGAUGUCCAUGCUUCAUCCCAGCCUCAGUCAGCAAAUCAAUCCCAGCCCCAGUCUUACACUCCUUACCAGCAGCAGUGGCAGCAGCAGCAGCAACCCUCUCGUUCAUCUCCUGCACCAGUGGCUCAGCAACAGCAGCCUUUCUCCCAGCCAUUUCCUCCACCUGUGCAGCAGCCCCAACUAUCUAAUGCUCACCAGUUUCCAACACAACCAGCGCAGCAGUCCCAGCUGCCUAAUGUUCAGCAGUUUCCAGCACAACCAGCGCAGCAGUCCCAGUUGUCUAAUGCUCAACAGUUCCCUCCACCACAGCUGCAACCACAGCAAUCCAACCCUCAUCUUCCUCAGACAGCACAACCACAACAUCCUCAUGUGCAAACUCAGAUGAGACCCUCCACUCCCCCACCAAACUACUCUGGUGGCUAUCCACCCCACCAGCCAUUGAACCCAUCCCCUGAAACUCUGCCUGGCAGCGCGGCUAUGCAAGGACCAUACAACACCGUUGCUCCAUCAGGUGGGAGUCAUUCGGAAGUGCAAUAUUCAUACGGUGGACCUGGCAUCCCACCGUCUCAGCCACCACCGCAGCACAGCAUGCAAAGGCAGCAGCUUCCUCCUCCAGGCCAGGGUUCUUUUGGGCCGCCUCCAAGUAAGGGGGCCUAUCCUCCGCAGUAUGCACCACAGGGGCAUCCGCAGGGGGGUUACAACACAUCGUAUGGCGGCUACCCGCCCAAUGGUCCUUCUGCAGCCCAGGCACCACAGAUGCCUCCAGGUGGUGCUGGUGUGAGCCAUCCAGGGUCAUCGCAUCAUCACAUGAUGCGUGGCCAUCCAUAUGGAGAUAUGAUUGAGAAGGCAAACACCAUGGGAUAUCCAAGGGACCAGGUGCUGAAUGUGAUCCAGAGGAUGACCGAGAGCGGGCAGCAGAUAGAUUUCAAUGCGUUGCUCGACAGGCUGAACGAAUCAGGGUCCGGAGCACCCCCUCGUCCGUGGUGA
This 1821-nucleotide ribosomal RNA is filed under the name Triticum aestivum (bread wheat). RNAcentral's name for it is "partial small subunit ribosomal RNA". The record is from RNAcentral. Lineage: Eukaryota; Viridiplantae; Streptophyta; Magnoliopsida; Poales; Poaceae.